CGUAUGAAAGUACGUUUUCACCCUCGGGUGGACAGGGAGACAGGUGGUGCAUGGUUGUCGUCAGCUCGUGUCGUGAGAUGUGGUUAAGUCCCGCAACGAGCGCAACCCCUACGUUUAGUUGCUAACGCGUGAAGGCGAGCACUCUAGACGAACUGCCGUUGACAAAACGGAGGAAGGUGGGGAUGACGUCAAAUCAUCAUGCCCCUUAUGUUCUGGGCUACACACGUGCUACAAUGGCCGGUACAGACGGACGCAAAGCCGCGAGGUGGAGCAAAUCCUAAAAAGCCGGUCUCAGUUCGGAUUGCAGGCUGCAAUUCGCCUGCAUGAAGUCGGAAUCGCUAGUAAUCGCAGGUCAGCAUACUGCGGUGAAUACGUUCCCGGGCCUU
This 386-nucleotide ribosomal RNA is filed under the name uncultured Pelotomaculum sp. RNAcentral's name for it is "bacterial SSU rRNA". It matches the Rfam family "Bacterial small subunit ribosomal RNA", at positions 998 to 1382 of the family's 1533-position model. Lineage: Bacteria; Bacillati; Bacillota; Clostridia; Eubacteriales; Desulfotomaculaceae. The record is from RNAcentral.